This 837-nucleotide ribosomal RNA is filed under the name Clavaria amoenoides. Its description in RNAcentral is "partial large subunit ribosomal RNA". It matches the Rfam family "Eukaryotic large subunit ribosomal RNA", at positions 77 to 919 of the family's 3401-position model. Lineage: Eukaryota; Fungi; Basidiomycota; Agaricomycetes; Agaricales; Clavariaceae. The record is from RNAcentral.
CCCCUAGUAACUGCGAGUGAAGAGGGAUGAGCUCAAAUUUGUAAUCUGGCAGUAUCUCACUGUCCGAGUUGUAAAUUCAAGAAGUGUUAUCCGUGUUGGACCAUGCACAAGUCUCUUGGAAAAGAGCAUCAUAGAGGGUGACAAUCCCGUCUCUGGCAUGGACGCCCACCACAUUCGUGAUGCACUUUCAAUGAGUCGAGUUGUUUGGGAAUGCAGCUCUAAAUGGGUGGUAAAUUCCAUCUAAAGCUAAAUAUUGGCGAGAGACCGAUAGCGAACAAGUACCGUGAGGGAAAGAUGAAAAGAACUUUGAAAAGAGAGUUAAACAGUACGUGAAAUUGUUGAAAGGGAAACGCUUGAAGUCAGUCUUGUGCUUCAGAAAUCAGCAGGACUCUGUCUUGUGCACUUUCUGUUCCGCAGGCCAGCAUCAAUUUCAACGACUAGAGAAAAGCUUUGGAAAUGUGGCAUCUUCUAUGGUGUGUUAUAGUCCUUGGCUGUAUGUAGUCGUCGGGAUUGAGGCUUUCAGCUCUCGUAGCUGACAAGGAUGCUGGCGUAAUGGCUUUAAUCGACCCGUCUUGAAACACGGACCAAGGAGUCUAACAUACAUGCAAGUAUUUGAGUUGUAAACUCUUGUGCGCAAUGAAAGUGAAUGUUGAGAACUAUGUCAAAAGUAGUGCAUCAACGCCCGGUCCAGACCUUCUGUGACGGAUCUGCGGUAGAGCAUGUAUGUUGGGACCCGAAAGAUGGUGAACUAUGCCUGAAUAGGGUGAAGCCAGAGGAAACUCUGGUGGAAGCUCGUAGCGAUUCUGACGUGCAAAUCGAUCGUCGAAUUUGGGUAUA